This 1464-nucleotide ribosomal RNA is filed under the name Triticum aestivum (bread wheat). RNAcentral's name for it is "partial small subunit ribosomal RNA". Lineage: Eukaryota; Viridiplantae; Streptophyta; Magnoliopsida; Poales; Poaceae. The record is from RNAcentral.
AUGGUGGAAACAUACACGACUGAUGAAGCGCUUACGGCAGUGGGAUUCGGGAGGUUCCAGGCGCUGGUCCUGGUGUACGCGGGCGUGGGCUGGGUCGCGGAAUCCAUGGAGCUCAUGCUCCUCUCCUUUGUCGGGCCCAUGGUGCGGGAGGAGUGGCAGGUGUCUGCCCAACACGAGAGCCUGCUCUCCAGCAUCGUCUUCUUCGGCAUGCUGCUAGGCUCCUGUGCCUGGGGCUUCGUCUCCGACACAUAUGGCCGGAGGACCGGUUUGCUCUUCUCCACGCUGUUCACCACCGGGAUGGGUUUCGUCAGCGCUUUCUCGCCCAACUACGCGUGCCUGGUGGCGCUUCGGUUCCUCGUCGGCGUCGGGGUGGGCGGCGCCCACGUCUUCAUGUCCUGGUUCCUGGAGUUUGUCCCCGCGCACAACCGUGGCACCUGGAUGGUCGCCUUCUCCGUGUUCUGGACCCUUGGCACCGUCGUGGAGGCUUCGCUGGCGUGGGUGGUCGUAUCGGCGUCCCUGAGUUGGCGGUGGCUGCUGGCGCUGACGGCCCUCCCGCUCCUACUCCUUCUUCCUCUCUUCGGAGCCACGCCGGAGUCGCCUCGCUAUCUCUGCGCACGGAACAAGCUGCCGGAGGCGACGCUUGUCCUGCAGAGGAUCGCGGCCGCCAACCACGCGGCUCUUCCUCCUGGAACUCUCACCCGCCUCAACCGCGGUGAAAGUGAUUAUGAGUGUGAGAGUGAAACACGGUAUCACCUUCCUCUCCUUUUUCUUCUUCGGGGCACAGACAACGAUGCUGCCAUGAGCUCCAAGCUGCGCAGCCUGUUGUCGCCGGACAUGCGCAGGUGGACGCUCCUGCUCUGGUUUGUCUUCUACGCUCAGUCCUUUGUUUACUACGGCCUUGUCCUGCUCACCUCUCAGCUGGUUGAUGCAAAUACAAGCUGUCCUCCUACCGUGUCAGCUGUGGCAGUGCUCUUCAACGGUGAGCAUCACCCAGAUGAUGCUGCUGCCGCUGCCAGCCUAUACAAGGAUACAUUUGUUACUAGUUUUUCAGAGAUCCCUGGACUAAUCCUCUCUGCCGUCCUCGUUGAAUGGUUUGGACGGAAAGCUACCAUGUCCUGCUUGCUCUUCACAUGCUGCGCUUUCCUUGCGCCGCUUCUACUUCGUCAGAGCGAGCUAUGGACGACUGGCCUUCUAUUCGGUGCCCGUGCUUGUGCCAUGGGUAGCUCCAUCGUUCUAUGUCUGUACGCCCUAGGGGUUUAUCCAACAUCAGUACGCUCGACUGGUGUCGGAAUUGCAUCCGCGGUUGGUAAAGUCGGUGGGGUUGUUUGCCCCCUUGUAGCUGUUGGGAUGCUCAGGAGCUGUCAUCAAAUGGAAGCCAUCAUUGUGUUUGGGGCCGUGUUGUGCCUCGCAGCAAUUGCCUGCAUGCUAUUCCCUCUAGACACCAAGGGCCGUGACAUCAACUGA